AAACAUUGACCAGCCCACCCACCAGCGAGCCCACCUCCAUUCCGCCGCUGCUGCCUUCACUACGCUCCACACGCAGCAGCGCUCUUCACCGCCAAACCAGCCGGACUUCAUCUGCAGAAAACACACACGCAUAAAACAAAAAAAAAAAAUUCAAUUCUUCUUAGUUUGAAUCUGUUUGUCCAUUUCAAAAUCAGAAACAAUUUUUUUUUUUUAGUUUAGCUGCUCUUUAAUUUUCCGCUUUCUUCUUUCUAAUUUUGGAUUCUACUUUUCCGAAAUCUUCCUCUGUUUUGUUUCUUUGAUAUCCGAAAAAUCAAAAAAACAUACACAAAGAAUAGAUUCUGGAAUUUCUUCCUCAUUUUUCAAUUUUGCUGUUCAAACAUGGGAAUCGACUGAGUUCGGAGUCCAUCAACUUUUCCUGCGUCGUUCGAGUCGCUGAAGGUUCGGAGUUUCGGGCCUGUUUUUCGGUCGGGUUUGUCCGUGCUUAGCUUCCUUGACCUUCACUGGGAUUGAC
This 511-nucleotide long non-coding RNA is filed under the name Nicotiana tabacum (common tobacco). Its description in RNAcentral is "long non-coding RNA (NTAB_LNC012766)". The record is from RNAcentral. Lineage: Eukaryota; Viridiplantae; Streptophyta; Magnoliopsida; Solanales; Solanaceae.